Molecule: ribosomal RNA, 1539 nt
Filed under: Klebsiella pneumoniae
Lineage: Bacteria; Pseudomonadati; Pseudomonadota; Gammaproteobacteria; Enterobacterales; Enterobacteriaceae
Description: bacterial SSU rRNA
Rfam family: Bacterial small subunit ribosomal RNA
Source: RNAcentral
AAAUUGAAGAGUUUGAUCAUGGCUCAGAUUGAACGCUGGCGGCAGGCCUAACACAUGCAAGUCGAGCGGUAGCACAGAGAGCUUGCUCUCGGGUGACGAGCGGCGGACGGGUGAGUAAUGUCUGGGAAACUGCCUGAUGGAGGGGAUAACUACUGGAAACGGUAGCUAAUACCGCAUAACGUCGCAAGACCAAAGUGGGGGACCUUCGGGCCUCAUGCCAUCAGAUGUGCCCAGAUGGGAUUAGCUAGUAGGUGGGGUAACGGCUCACCUAGGCGACGAUCCCUAGCUGGUCUGAGAGGAUGACCAGCCACACUGGAACUGAGACACGGUCCAGACUCCUACGGGAGGCAGCAGUGGGGAAUAUUGCACAAUGGGCGCAAGCCUGAUGCAGCCAUGCCGCGUGUGUGAAGAAGGCCUUCGGGUUGUAAAGCACUUUCAGCGGGGAGGAAGGCGUUAAGGUUAAUAACCUUGGCGAUUGACGUUACCCGCAGAAGAAGCACCGGCUAACUCCGUGCCAGCAGCCGCGGUAAUACGGAGGGUGCAAGCGUUAAUCGGAAUUACUGGGCGUAAAGCGCACGCAGGCGGUCUGUCAAGUCGGAUGUGAAAUCCCCGGGCUCAACCUGGGAACUGCAUUCGAAACUGGCAGGCUAGAGUCUUGUAGAGGGGGGUAGAAUUCCAGGUGUAGCGGUGAAAUGCGUAGAGAUCUGGAGGAAUACCGGUGGCGAAGGCGGCCCCCUGGACAAAGACUGACGCUCAGGUGCGAAAGCGUGGGGAGCAAACAGGAUUAGAUACCCUGGUAGUCCACGCCGUAAACGAUGUCGAUUUGGAGGUUGUGCCCUUGAGGCGUGGCUUCCGGAGCUAACGCGUUAAAUCGACCGCCUGGGGAGUACGGCCGCAAGGUUAAAACUCAAAUGAAUUGACGGGGGCCCGCACAAGCGGUGGAGCAUGUGGUUUAAUUCGAUGCAACGCGAAGAACCUUACCUGGUCUUGACAUCCACAGAACUUAGCAGAGAUGCUUUGGUGCCUUCGGGAACUGUGAGACAGGUGCUGCAUGGCUGUCGUCAGCUCGUGUUGUGAAAUGUUGGGUUAAGUCCCGCAACGAGCGCAACCCUUAUCCUUUGUUGCCAGCGGUCCGGCCGGGAACUCAAAGGAGACUGCCAGUGAUAAACUGGAGGAAGGUGGGGAUGACGUCAAGUCAUCAUGGCCCUUACGACCAGGGCUACACACGUGCUACAAUGGCAUAUACAAAGAGAAGCGACCUCGCGAGAGCAAGCGGACCUCAUAAAGUAUGUCGUAGUCCGGAUUGGAGUCUGCAACUCGACUCCAUGAAGUCGGAAUCGCUAGUAAUCGUAGAUCAGAAUGCUACGGUGAAUACGUUCCCGGGCCUUGUACACACCGCCCGUCACACCAUGGGAGUGGGUUGCAAAAGAAGUAGGUAGCUUAACCUUCGGGAGGGCGCUUACCACUUUGUGAUUCAUGACUGGGGUGAAGUCGUAACAAGGUAACCGUAGGGGAACCUGCGGUUGGAUCACCUCCUUA